Neofelis nebulosa (Clouded leopard) is the source of this 683-nucleotide long non-coding RNA. RefSeq lists it as uncharacterized. The transcript is spliced from 2 exons. The record is from RefSeq and is a predicted model, not a curated record. NCBI's taxonomy places the organism in Eukaryota, Metazoa, Chordata, Mammalia, Carnivora, Felidae.
CCGUCCGGUCCCGGCCCGCAGCAUUCCGAAGGCGGCCCUGCCCUCCCCCCACUCCCGGCAACCCCUCUACACCCGAGGCCUGGGGCCCCGGGAAGUUGGGGAGCCCCGGGAGAGGGCUAGGAAGUUCUCGGAGUUUGGGGGUUGCUGCGGACGCUGUGCCCCUCUCCUCCAGCACGCCCCCCGACUUAACCCCUUCCCUCCCGCGGAAGUAGGCUCUAGGCCACCUGUGAGGUUUGAACUCAUGACCCUGACAUCGAGUUGCAUAGUCCGCUGACUGAGCCAGCCAGAAAAGCCCCUGCCAUGAAUCCUUCUGAAAAGAUCACCAAAACUUCCCGGAGAGAGUGGAGGCAACAAGACCACAUUGGGACUCUACCUUGAAAAGGAAACGAAAAAUGUUGAAGAAAGACUAGCUUUACCUAACGAACACUAUUUAGAUUAUGGUUGCAACCAUGCAGACAUUAGAAUGAAGAGUUGGUCCUUUACUGAAACAGGGUCAUUUUUGCAAAUAUAUUUGAGAGUUUCACGUGCAAAUGGUGCUCUGAGUCCUUCGGUAGUCUAACAAUUCUCUCUGGAAGGACGCGAUCACUUCUCUUUAGCGAUGUUUUUUUCCUCUGUGGACAGCUAUGCCUUCAUUUGUCCCAUGUCACUUUAACCAACUUCAUGAAGCCCUGCGCUUUUUGCAA